RNAcentral lists this small nucleolar RNA (141 nucleotides) under Triticum aestivum (bread wheat). Its description in RNAcentral is "Small nucleolar RNA F1/F2/snoR5a". It matches the Rfam family "Small nucleolar RNA F1/F2/snoR5a". Rfam says of the family: This family contains F1, F2 and snoR5a sequences, all of which are members of the the H/ACA class of snoRNA that guide the sites of modification of uridines to pseudouridines. Lineage: Eukaryota; Viridiplantae; Streptophyta; Magnoliopsida; Poales; Poaceae. The record is from Rfam by way of RNAcentral.
AAAUGCCAUCUGGUAUCUGACACUUAGUCAUUUUUUGUGAUUCUGUGUCUUGAAACAUGGCUGAAAAUGAGGGGGAAUGGAAUUUUGCGACACUUGCUGCUCCUAAUGACCCUCCUAGUUACUAUAUACCCAUUUACAUUA